This 253-nucleotide ribosomal RNA is filed under the name uncultured bacterium. Its description in RNAcentral is "partial 16S ribosomal RNA". It matches the Rfam family "Bacterial small subunit ribosomal RNA", at positions 524 to 776 of the family's 1533-position model. The record is from RNAcentral.
UACAGAGGGGGCAAGCGUUGUUCGGAAUUACUGGGCGUAAAGGGCGCGUAGGCGGCCUGCUAAGUCGAACGUGAAAUCCCCGGGCUCAACCCGGGAACUGCGUCCGAUACUGGUUGGCUUGAAUCCGGGAGAGGGAUGUGGAAUUCCAGGUGUAGCGGUGAAAUGCGUAGAUAUCUGGAGGAACACCGGUGGCGAAGGCGGCAUCCUGGACCGGCAUUGACGCUGAGGCGCGAAAGCCAGGGGAGCAAACGGG